This 353-nucleotide ribosomal RNA is filed under the name Shigella dysenteriae. RNAcentral's name for it is "bacterial LSU rRNA". It matches the Rfam family "Bacterial large subunit ribosomal RNA", at positions 2122 to 2474 of the family's 2925-position model. The record is from RNAcentral. Lineage: Bacteria; Pseudomonadati; Pseudomonadota; Gammaproteobacteria; Enterobacterales; Enterobacteriaceae.
CAUUGAGCCUUGAUGUGUAGGAUAGGUGGGAGGCUUAGAAGUGUGGACGCCAGUCUGCAUGGAGCCGACCUUGAAAUACCACCCUUUAAUGUUUGAUGUUCUAACGUUGACCCGUAAUCCGGGUUGCGGACAGUGUCUGGUGGGUAGUUUGACUGGGGCGGUCUCCUCCUAAAGAGGAACGGAGGAGCACGAAGGUUGGCUAAUCCUGGUCGGACAUCAGGAGGUUAGUGCAAUGGCAUAAGCCAGCUUGACUGCGAGCGUGACGGCGCGAGCAGGUGCGAAAGCAGGUCAUAGUGAUCCGGUGGUUCUGAAUGGAAGGGCCAUCGCUCAACGGAUAAAAGGUACUCCGGGGA